GAAGGACACAAGGAAACUUCUUCUAGGGCCCCUGUGCUCACUCAGAGGUCUUUCUGGGAUGGGGCCCUGGGCUCCCAGUGGCAUAGGAGAUCCCACUCUCUGCUGGACGCUCCAUUUUAGAAAGGCACACCCAGGCAAGGAGGCAGGCCUAGGGCCACAGAGGGGACACCCCUGGAGGCCAGCCUCAGGGCACCAGAGGACAGAGCAGAAGAGAACAGGGAAGCAGAGGCUCCGCCCUAGGGGGAGGUCAUGCGGACACCAGGC
This 264-nucleotide long non-coding RNA is filed under the name Homo sapiens (human). RNAcentral describes it as "non-protein coding lnc-ARVCF-2:2". The record is from RNAcentral. Lineage: Eukaryota; Metazoa; Chordata; Mammalia; Primates; Hominidae.